RNAcentral lists this ribosomal RNA (402 nucleotides) under bacterium. RNAcentral describes it as "partial 16S ribosomal RNA". It matches the Rfam family "Bacterial small subunit ribosomal RNA", at positions 355 to 776 of the family's 1533-position model. The record is from RNAcentral.
UGGGGAAUUUUGCACAAUGGGGGAAACCCUGAUGCAGCGACGCCGCGUGAUUUAGAAGGCCUUCGGGUUGGAAAAAUCUUUUCUAUGAGAAGAAAAUGACAGUACCAUAGGAAUAAGGACCGGCUAAUUACGUGCCAGCAGCCGCGGUAAUACGUAAGGUCCGAGCGUUGUCCGGAAUCAUUGGGCGUAAAGGGUACGUAGGCGGGUAAGCAAGUUAGAAGUGAAAUCCUAUAGCUCAACUAUAGUAAGCUUUUAAAACUGCUCAUCUUGAGGUAUGGAAGUGAAAGUUGAAUUCCUAGUGUAGCGGUGAAAUGCGCAGAUAUUAGGAGGAAUACCGGUGGCGAAGGCGACUUUCUGGCCAUAACCUGACGCUGAGGUACGAAAGCGUGGGUAGCAAACAGG